Molecule: transfer RNA, 72 nt
Filed under: Patescibacteria group bacterium
Lineage: Bacteria
Description: tRNA-Arg
Rfam family: tRNA
About the family: Transfer RNA (tRNA) molecules are approximately 80 nucleotides in length. Their secondary structure includes four short double-helical elements and three loops (D, anti-codon, and T loops).
Source: RNAcentral
GCGCCCUUAGUUCAACGGAUAGAACGCCGGUCUUCGGAACCGAGAAUGGGGGUUCGAUUCCCUCAGGGCGCA